ACCCUCUGAUUCCCUUUCCCAUCUGAUUUGAACACUGGUCUUGGUGGUAGUUAAAGGAGGAAAAGGAACAAUAAAUUNAUACACAG
Molecule: small nucleolar RNA, 86 nt
Organism: Ailuropoda melanoleuca (giant panda)
Lineage: Eukaryota; Metazoa; Chordata; Mammalia; Carnivora; Ursidae
Source: Ensembl